GGGAACUUUACUCAUUACUCCCAGCAAAAGCCAUGAGUGUAGAUGGUGCAUGAGAGGAAGGAACUGAUCCCUGCAGAACGCCAGAAUGGAAAGGCAAGAAACAGCCCAAGGUCUGAAACCAAAUGAACCCCCACCCCCAGGCUGCAGUUCCCAGUGCCCUUGGAAAUGAGACCCUCAUGCCUCCAGAUGGAAGAUACACAGGGCCCCAGAGGAAGCAUUUUUCCAGGAUUUUCCAACACUGUCCAGAAGAAGGGAGUCUUUGAUCCUCACACCAGGUCCAAGGAUUUUUCAAAAAUCACUACUUCAUGAUCAGACAAGCACUAGAGAAAUAACAGAAUCCUGUUGCUGGCCUGCAAACCUGGCAAACAUGUGUAAGCAGACCUCCAUCACUGGACCGCAGCAGGACACAGGGAGGACCCGCCCAGCAGCAACUUCCUUCCUAACUCCAAAUUCACUGCAAAUAAAGUCCCUCACCACCAGUGACCCAGCCAUUGUGCGUCUCCGGACUCUUCUGUAUCUUUAGCAAAGGCCACGUUUUCCAGCUCUGCCUGUGGGCGUCUGACACACUUCCUUAAAGGCCUGGAGAGAGCAGGAUAUGGAGCGUGGCCCUGUUCACUCUGCAAAGGUUUCCACAACCUUGAAAACAUUUCCCUGCCUCUAACAUGUUCCUACCAUACAUGUGACACAGUCAGGCUCCAUUCUAAGUCUUACGCAUUCAGUUAACAAAAAAUAAUUGGCUGCCUGCCCUGGGCUUGGCUUGGCACUUGCUGUGUACUUGGUACCAAGUUGAAGAGACGAUAUCUGGCCCAAGGGGGCUGCAGUCUGAGGCAGAGAUGGCGAGCACACCGAGGUACUUCCAAGGUGCCCUGAACGCCCCCAGAACGCCCCAGCCCAACACUUAAGCUCCAUAGGGACUUUCUGCUAAAUCUUCUGUCUCCCACACUGGACUGUGAGCCUCAGGACAGCCUAACCCUCCUUUACCAAUUUUUAUAUUAGCACACUGGACAUUUGGCCUCUGGUACCUGCAGGUUCCGCAUCCACAGAUUCAACCAACUGCAGAUGGAAAAUAUUUGGAAAAAAAGUAAAAAAAAAACCAC
Molecule: long non-coding RNA, 1097 nt
Organism: Chlorocebus sabaeus (green monkey)
Lineage: Eukaryota; Metazoa; Chordata; Mammalia; Primates; Cercopithecidae
Source: RefSeq, a predicted model, not a curated record